AAACCAUGGUGAGGGCACUUCCGUAAAAGAACCUUAUACCUUUCCCAUGCUUUAUACAAUGACUCUGAAUCUUGUUGGUAAAAGUUGGCAAUCUCACUCCUUAGCUU
This is a small nucleolar RNA of Pistacia vera, 107 nucleotides long. The record is from RefSeq and is a predicted model, not a curated record. Lineage: Eukaryota; Viridiplantae; Streptophyta; Magnoliopsida; Sapindales; Anacardiaceae.